Molecule: ribosomal RNA, 482 nt
Filed under: uncultured bacterium
Lineage: Bacteria
Description: partial 16S ribosomal RNA
Rfam family: Bacterial small subunit ribosomal RNA
Source: RNAcentral
AUUGAACGCUGGCGGCAUGCCUUACACAUGCAAGUCGAACGGUAACGGGCCUUCGGGUGCCGACGAGUGGCGAACGGGUGAGUAAUACAUCGGAACGUGCCCGAUCGUGGGGGAUAACGAGGCGAAAGCUUUGCUAAUACCGCAUACGAUCUACGGAUGAAAGCAGGGGACCGCAAGGCCUUGCGCGGACGGAGCGGCCGAUGGCAGAUUAGGUAGUUGGUGGGAUAAAAGCUUACCAAGCCGACGAUCUGUAGCUGGUCUGAGAGGAUGAUCAGCCACACUGGGACUGAGACACGGCCCAGACUCCUACGGGAGGCAGCAGUGGGGAAUUUUGGACAAUGGGCGCAAGCCUGAUCCAGCCAUGCCGCGUGCAGGAUGAAGGCCUUCGGGUUGUAAACUGCUUUUGUACGGAACGAAAAGCCUUCUUUUAAUACAGGAGGGUCAUGACGGUACCGUAAGAAUAAGCACCGGCUAAUUACGUG